Molecule: long non-coding RNA, 164 nt
Filed under: Dasypus novemcinctus (nine-banded armadillo)
Lineage: Eukaryota; Metazoa; Chordata; Mammalia; Cingulata; Dasypodidae
Description: lncRNA (ENSDNOG00000051437.1)
Source: RNAcentral
AAGGUCACUGAGGUCACUGCCUCCCUAGCUUGCUGUGAAGCCAGCUCACCUCUCUUGGUUCCAAACACAGACACACCCAGCAGCCCAGGAAAGAAACCCGGAAACCAGGAGCCGCUGGGAAAAGAGGAGAGGGGCCGCUGCACGCCCUCACGUUCCGCAGUUGG